This 397-nucleotide ribosomal RNA is filed under the name uncultured bacterium. Its description in RNAcentral is "bacterial SSU rRNA". It matches the Rfam family "Bacterial small subunit ribosomal RNA", at positions 29 to 425 of the family's 1533-position model. The record is from RNAcentral.
AUUGAACGCUAGCGGGAUGCCUUACACAUGCAAGUCGAACGGCAGCGCGGACUUCGGUCUGGCGGCGAGUGGCGAACGGGUGAGUAAUGUAUCGGAACGUGCCCAGUAGCGGGGGACAACCACUCGAAAGAGUGGCUAAUACCGCAUACGCCCUACGGGGAAAGGGGGGAGUCGCAAGACCUCUCACUAUUGGAGCGGCCGAUAUCGGAUUAGCUAGUUGGUGGGGUAAAGGCCUACCAAGGCGACGAUCCGUAGCUGGUUUGAGAGGACGACCAGCCACACUGGGACUGAGACACGGCCCAGACUCCUACGGGAGGCAGCAGUGGGGAAGUUUUGGUACAAUGGGGGAAACCCGUGAUCCAGCCAUUCCGCGUGUGCGAUGAAGGCCUUCGGGUUG